GGUGUCCUACGGGGCGAAGCAGUAGGGAAUCUUCCACAAUGGGCGAAAGCCUGAUGGAGCAACGCCGCGUGGGUGAAGAAGGUCUUCGGAUCGUAAAACCCUGUUGUUAGAGAAGAAAGUGCGUGAGAGUAACUGUUCACGUUUCGACGGUAUCUAACCAGAAAGCCACGGCUAACUACGUGCCAGCAGCCGCGGUACUACGUAGGUGGCAAGCGUUAUCCGGAUUUAUUGGGCGUAAAGGGAACGCAGGCGGUCUUUUAAGUCUGAUGUGAAAGCCUUCGGCUUAACCGGAGAAGGGCAUUGGA
This 305-nucleotide ribosomal RNA is filed under the name uncultured bacterium. RNAcentral's name for it is "bacterial SSU rRNA". It matches the Rfam family "Bacterial small subunit ribosomal RNA", at positions 333 to 630 of the family's 1533-position model. The record is from RNAcentral.